GAUGAAGAACGUAGCGAAAUGCGAUAAGUAAUGUGAAUUGCAGAAUUCAGUGAAUCAUCGAAUCUUUGAACGCACAUUUCGCCCCCUGGUAUUCCGGGGGGCAUGCCUGUUCGAGCGUCAUUUCACCACUCAAGCCUCGCUUGGUAUUGGGCAACGCGGUCCGCCGCGUGCCUCAAAUCGACCGGCUGGGUCUUCUGUCCCCUAAGCGUUGUGGAAACUAUUCGCUAAAGGGUGUUCGGGAGGCUACGCCGUAAAACAACCCCAUUUCUAAGGUUGACCUCGGAUCAGGUAGGGAUACCCGCUGAACUUAAGCAUAUCAAUAAGCGGAGGA
Molecule: unclassified non-coding RNA, 331 nt
Filed under: soil metagenome
Description: partial contains 5.8S ribosomal RNA, internal transcribed spacer 2, and large subunit ribosomal RNA
Rfam family: 5.8S ribosomal RNA (bases 1-120)
Source: RNAcentral